This 253-nucleotide ribosomal RNA is filed under the name uncultured bacterium. RNAcentral describes it as "partial 16S ribosomal RNA". It matches the Rfam family "Bacterial small subunit ribosomal RNA", at positions 524 to 776 of the family's 1533-position model. The record is from RNAcentral.
UACGGGGGGGGCAAGCGUUGUUCGGAAUUACUGGGCGUAAAGGGCUCGUAGGCGGCCAACUAAGUCGGAUGUGAAAUCCCCAGGCUCAACCUGGGAACUGCAUCCGAUACUGGAUGGCUUGAAUCCGGGAGAGGGAUGCAGAAUUCCAGGUGUAGCGGUGAAAUGCGUAGAUAUCUGGAGGAAUACCGGUGGCGAAGGCGGCAUCCUGGACCGGCAUUGACGCUGAGGAGCGAAAGCUAGGGGAGCAAACGAG